This 253-nucleotide ribosomal RNA is filed under the name uncultured bacterium. RNAcentral's name for it is "partial 16S ribosomal RNA". It matches the Rfam family "Bacterial small subunit ribosomal RNA", at positions 524 to 776 of the family's 1533-position model. The record is from RNAcentral.
UAUGUAGGGUGCGAGCGUUAAUCGGAAUUACUGGGCGUAAAGCGUGCGCAGGCGGUUUUGUAAGCCCGAUGUGAAAUCCCCGGGCUUAACCUGGGAAUGGCAUUUGGGACUGCAAGGCUGGAGUGUGGCAGAGGAGACUGGAAUUCCUGGUGUAGCAGUGAAAUGCGUAGAUAUCAGGAGGAAUACCGAUGGCGAAGGCAGGUCUCUGGGCUGAAACUGACGCUCAUGCACGAAAGCGUGGGGAGCAAACAGG